GAUGAACGCUGGCGGCGUGCCUAAUACAUGCAAGUCGAGCGAACAGAUAAGGAGUUUGCGCCUUUGACGUUAGCGGCGGACGGGUGAGUAACACGUGUGUAACCUAGCUAUAAGACUGGAAGAACUCCGGGAAACCGGGGCUAAGGCCGGAUAACAUAUAGAACCGCAUGGUUCUAAAGUGAAAGAUGGUUGUGCUAUCACUUAUGGAUGGACCCGCGCCGGAUUAGCUAGUUGGUACGGUAACGGCUUACCAAGGCAACGAUAGGUAGCCGACCUGAACGGGUCGUCGGACACCCUGGAACUGAGACACGGCCCACACUCCUGCGGUAGGACACAGUAGGGACUCUUCCGCAAUGGGGCAGUGCCUGACGGUGCAACGCCGCGUGAGUCAUGAAGGUCUUCGGAUCGUAGAACUCUGUUAUUAGGAAAGAUCAAAUGUGUAAUUAGCUGUGCACGUAUUGACGGUACCUACACAAAAAGCCCCGGCUAACUCCGUG
This 497-nucleotide ribosomal RNA is filed under the name uncultured bacterium. RNAcentral's name for it is "partial 16S ribosomal RNA". It matches the Rfam family "Bacterial small subunit ribosomal RNA", at positions 28 to 507 of the family's 1533-position model. The record is from RNAcentral.